GAUGAAGAACGCAGCGAAAUGCGAUACUUGGUGUGAAUUGCAGAAUCCCGCGAAUCAUCGAGUUUUUGAACGCAAGUUGCGCCCGAAGCCAUUCGGCCGAGGGCACGUCUGCCUGGGUGUCACGCAUCGUUGCCCCCCCAAACUCCGGUUCGGGCAGGGCGGAAGUUGGCCUCCCGUGCGUGCCUGCGCGCGCGGUUAGCCCAAAAGCGAGUCCUCGGCGACGAGCGCCACGACAAUCGGUGGUUUUUUUACCCUCGUUCCUCGUCGUGCGUGCCCCGUCGCCCGAACGCGCUCUUGCGACCCUUACGCGUCGCCUCGGCGGCGCUCCCAACGCGACCCCAGAUCAGGCGGGACUACCCGCUGAGUUUAAGCAUAUCAAUAACGGAGGA
Molecule: unclassified non-coding RNA, 389 nt
Filed under: soil metagenome
Description: partial contains 5.8S ribosomal RNA, internal transcribed spacer 2, and large subunit ribosomal RNA
Rfam family: 5.8S ribosomal RNA (bases 1-122)
Source: RNAcentral